This 388-nucleotide ribosomal RNA is filed under the name Gephyrocapsa cf. muellerae. RNAcentral's name for it is "partial small subunit ribosomal RNA". It matches the Rfam family "Eukaryotic small subunit ribosomal RNA", at positions 582 to 975 of the family's 1831-position model. Lineage: Eukaryota; Haptophyta; Isochrysidales; Noelaerhabdaceae. The record is from RNAcentral.
AUUCCAGCUCCAAUAGCGUAUAUUUAAGUUGUUGCAGUUAAAAAGCUCGUAGUUGGACUUUGGGCCGGGUCGGCCGGUCCGCCGAUGGGUAUGCACUGGCCGGCGCGUCCUUCCACCCGGAGACCGCGCCUACUCUUAACUGAGCGGGCGCGGGAGACGGGUCUUUUACUUUGAAAAAAUCAGAGUGUUUCAAGCAGGCAGUCGCUCUUGCAUGGAUUAGCAUGGGAUAAUGAAAUAGGACUCUGGUGCUAUUUUGUUGGUUUCGAACACCGGAGUAAUGAUUAACAGGGACAGUCAGGGGCACUCGUAUUCCGCCGAGAGAGGUGAAAUUCUCAGACCAGCGGAAGACGAACCACUGCGAAAGCAUUUGCCAGGGAUGUUUUCAUCG